GGAGGGGUGCCGGAGUGGACGAACGGACCGGUCUUGAAAACCGGAGUCGGGGCAACUCGACCGUGGGUUCGAAUCCCACCCCCUCCGCCA
RNAcentral lists this transfer RNA (90 nucleotides) under Nitrospirota bacterium. RNAcentral describes it as "Nitrospirae bacterium (sediment metagenome) tRNA-Ser". It matches the Rfam family "tRNA". Rfam says of the family: Transfer RNA (tRNA) molecules are approximately 80 nucleotides in length. Their secondary structure includes four short double-helical elements and three loops (D, anti-codon, and T loops). Further hydrogen bonds mediate the characteristic L-shaped molecular structure. tRNAs have two regions of fundamental functional importance: the anti-codon, which is responsible for specific mRNA codon recognition, and the 3' end, to which the tRNAs corresponding amino acid is attached (by aminoacyl-tRNA synthetases). tRNAs cope with the degeneracy of the genetic code in two manners: having more than one tRNA (with a specific anti-codon) for a particular amino acid; and 'wobble' base-pairing, i.e. permitting non-standard base-pairing at the 3rd anti-codon position. The record is from RNAcentral. Lineage: Bacteria; Pseudomonadati; Nitrospirota.